CACGUAGGGUGCGAGCGUUGUCCGGAAUUAUUGGGCGUAAAGAGCUCGUAGGCGGUGUGUCGCGUCGGCCGUGAAAACCUGCAGCUUAACUCUGAGCGUGCGGUCGAUACGGGCAUCACUUGAGUUCGGCAGGGGAGACUGGAAUUCCUGGUGUAGCGGUGAAAUGCGCAGAUAUCAGGAGGAACACCGGUGGCGAAGGCGGGUCUCUUGGCCGAUACUGACGCUGAGGAGCGAAAGCAUGGGGAGCGAACAGG
RNAcentral lists this ribosomal RNA (254 nucleotides) under uncultured bacterium. RNAcentral describes it as "partial 16S ribosomal RNA". It matches the Rfam family "Bacterial small subunit ribosomal RNA", at positions 524 to 776 of the family's 1533-position model. The record is from RNAcentral.